RNAcentral lists this long non-coding RNA (31839 nucleotides) under Linum usitatissimum (flax). RNAcentral describes it as "long non-coding RNA (LUSI_LNC004206)". The record is from RNAcentral. Lineage: Eukaryota; Viridiplantae; Streptophyta; Magnoliopsida; Malpighiales; Linaceae.
AAAAAGAAGGUUUUAAUGUUGGUUUCAAGAACUAUUGGAUAGUUAAUUGUUUUUAAAUUUAUGUGGCAUUUAUAAAUAGAUGAUAUUUUUAAGAGGGUUGUCAGAAAAUAAGGUUUCUUAUUAUGAACAUAUGAAUCAACAAUAUAGACAAAAAAUGGCAAAUUAAGUUUUUUCAUGUAACAAUCAUAGGUUAAAUUGAAACACUAAAAUUCUUUAAACUUUAUAAAGUUAGUGAACUAUAUGACCUGCACGCUGUGUGUGGGGGAGCAAUCUAGUUUUAAUAUAAAAGAAUAUAUUAACUAGAUUCAAUUAGGCUUGUUCAGUGCCUGAGCAGAGUCGAACUUUACUAUACUCAAGUUGGGCUCUUUAUUUUUUAGACGAAGCUCGAACUCAAGAUAGAAAAUUUUAGCUUAUUUCGAGCUCGAACCUAUUUGACUCUGGCUCGUUAGCCUUGACGACCCAAACUCGAGCUCAAUUCGAACUUUGCUCACUAAAAGCCUCUUAUGAGUCCAAUUGGAGUUGAAUUUGAAGUUUGUACACUUAGAAAUAUCGACGAGUCAAGUUAAAAAACAUACUAUCCUAAACUUUACAAGUCUUUACUAACCUAAACAAUGUACCAUUUCCAUUUUCAGCGGCACAAUCACAAAUUACAUAUGAUUUGUUGUGUAUGUUGCAUUUUUCAGUAUGCUAACGAGCCAUAUAAUAGACUUAGCAUUCGAGUUGGCUAUUGAGCUUGAACUCAAAACAACUUGUGAGCCUAUCAAAUCGAGUAUACUGAGACUCAAACUUGGCUCGUUUAAAAUUGAAUAAAGUAACAAAUAAUUUUUUUUCAAACUGAAAGCCAAGCGGCUUGGCUCGGCAACAGCCCUAGGCUUCAAUUCAAUUGCAGGGUCCCAGUUCACCUCAUCCUCAUUUUCUUUUUAUCAUACCUCAUCAUUAUAAAAAAAAACCUCAUUCGCAUUACAAACGAACUGUUUAGUCAGUUUCAAAACAAAAACUAAAUCAUAAUAAGCUCCAUGGCAGGGUUGGGACGGUUUAAUCCAGCAAAUAUAAUUCUCAAUCGACGUCAAUGAACAGUGGUCUAUGUUUCAAGAUAGGCACACAGCAGCAUAUGACAGAGAUAACAAGGUUCAAAUAAGAGGAAGAUACAAUUGAUUUGAUUGGUUUCUGAGCAGUAUAAUUCGGAGGUGGGCUGUUCUGGGAAUAGACCUGAGGUUCGGAUUAUCCAUAUCGACAAAAACAUAAGAUGGAUAGUAGCAGCUGCCCCACAAAAUGACACAAAGCUGUCAAAUUAAACUCAUCCUACUCGUAAACCCAAUGAUUUGUAAAAAGCACAACAACAUUUUCCACUUUGCAGCUAAAGGAAGCCAGCAAUUCUCCAUCUUGCAAGUAAGCAUGGCUGGGGAUCAAGAUUCGUAGCAGCAAUAAUACUAGUACUAGUAAAGCAAAGUGGUGGUGGGCUGUUGCCUAAAAGGCAGAAAAACAAAGGGGCCACUCACCCAUUAUAUAACUAUAUAUCUCCAGGUAGUGAUGGAUUAGGUUUCUUCCAAAAUUCUAUCGUACAAGUUGAUGAAGUCCAUAAUACAUCUGAAUACAGUUUCAUCACGGACUGAAAUAUUUGGUAAUGUUUCACCAACAUUGAAAUAUCAGCAGACAAUCCAGACAUGCUAAUGCUACUACCAUGAUAUUAAAGAUCCAAUAACUAGCAGACAAUCCAGACAAAUGCUAAUGCUAGUAGCGUGACAAGAAAUUUGCUUUUUCUUCUCGGACCUACAAAUAGUACAAAUCUCCCCACUUAUUCAUGUGAAUGCUGUCCCCAAAGGCAAGAAGAAAGUUUAGUUUACUGACCUCAUCUCAGCAGUCAGUCAGCCGGGCCAAAUCCUCAGUACAAUAUUCAACUUGCAGGUCCGAAAUAAUUGAGCCAGGCGCUUCUCUUGAUUUUAUCUUGGUUGGUUGGUGUAGGGGACCAUAAAUAUAAUGAAUGUUCAUCCUUCCUCAGAAAGGUCAUAUCUUAUGUACCCCUUCCAUACUUGCAAUCUUGAUAAAAGCUGAUAUUAUGAUAAUGCGCAACAGCUUACUAGUUUGAAAUUAUGUGUCUGGAGCACUAAUCAUGACAAAACAACACAGGCCACAAACCCAUGAAGCGAAAGCGGGAGGUCAAAACAUUUUGAACUAUGGGUUUCUUGCCUUUCUGGAAACAGCAAUCACACUUCUAUAGGUCUAGGACUUGAUGCCAGGAGAAAGCAGCUAAAAAAGUAUACUGAAAUUACAAUGCAUCUAAGGCUUUGUUUGGCAAUUAGAAUCAUGUCUCAUGGGAUUAGGGUGAGAUUAUUGGAAGAAAGUUGUGUUGAGAUUGAGAGAAGUUGAACGAUACAAAGAAAGUUGGACGAUAUCACUCUAUUCAACAUUCCGACCUCAAUUCAACUUUCUUUCACAGUUCUACUAACUUUAAUUCAACUUUCUUUCACAGUUCUACUAACUUCAAUUCAACUUUCUUAUAAAACAUGAUUCUUGUACUCGUCAAUAGAAGAAUAUAACAUAUUCAUAUACCUACAGAAGGCAGAAGAAGUUGAUAAGGAAUUCACAAAAGCCAGAAAUAUUUAACUCCACCAACAUCGCAUGUCACAAGAGAAGCUGAUAUAACAAUUAAUAUGCACUCCACGUACUCUGUGAAAAUACACAGGUACAAGAACAAUAGUAGUAAGAAAGCACAUAUGGACAUUUUCCCUUAAUGGACCAGAGAGAAGGUGAGGCCGUAAAUCAGUAAACCAACUAUCGAAUUACAAUCGCAUGUAGCUGCAUACCUAGCAUCUGAGCAAUUAAGCUAUCAUCGAAUAUUUAUUGAUUCUACUGCCAGAGCAGAGCAAGGAGAACACAAAAACCAACGAAGAAAAGCAGCCUUUUGAGAUAAUAAUCUUGCUGCCCUUGCCCUUGAUGCUGCGGAUAUGCAUGCGCGUGGCCACCAUGAAAUGAAUUAGUGAACCCAUAAGGAAAACCAGUAGCACCACCAUACAUGGCCGCUUCUGGAAAUCCAUGAACAUUAAGGUUGAAGAGUGAAGGGAAUAGGCCACCGAAAGCUGCUGAAAGAGUGAAACUCCCAAACCUAGCCGUCGCCGUAGGUGCGAAACCUCCCAUGAAUCCAAAUCCAUGCGGAGCAAAAUGAUGAUUUGGUUCCGGAGGUGGAGGAGCCGUUUCGGGCCUCCGUCCAGCUGGACGGUUCGGAAUAUUGACACCAGGAAUGGACUUGGAUCUCGGGUCCGUAGAUGUUUUACCCCUGCCAUAUAGGGGAACCAACUUCUGCUCCUCAACUAGAGCCUUGCAAACAGGACAUUCCCUAGACUGAGAGUGAAAGUGUAGCCACUUAUAGAGACAAGGCCAACAGAAAAGAUGGCCACAGAGAGUUACAAUAGGGUCUUGCGCUAGGUCGAAGCAGAUAUUGCAUUCGAAGUUGCCUGCAUCGCCAUUGCCAUUGCUGUUAGAGAACGAGGGGCUUUGAGGUUGCCUGCUGGUUGAUUCCCCAAACCCACUGGCCAUUUCUGGAAACCAAAAUUUCAGCUCCUAUAACCCACAACACUAGUCAGAAAUAAUAGAUGCAAACGGAGCCACCAGACCCAGAACGCCCUUCUUUCAUUAAAGAUGCAGUCUUUGGCAUAAUACGGUCAUUAGUAACCAAGCAAGAAGAAAAACCAGCCUGCCUAGUUAGAUUAAGAAAGGAUCAGAUUGAGUCGACUCGUGAUUUACAAUUGAACAAAACUAAAAAAACACAAAGUGAAUUCGCUAGUUCCCUUCAUCACAAUCGAAAUUCAUGAAAAUCAAAAGCGCAAUCAAUUGAAAUAAUCCAUAAACCCUAAAAUAGGCAAUUAAAAUCAAAUUAAUUCCAUCAUCCGAUACAUAUCCAUGACCUUGUCCACCCAGAAAACUAUUAAGAGGCGAAAUUGGAAGAAGGGUAAAUCGGAUGAGGAAGAAGCGAGAUUCAUAAGAGUUGUGAUACUGACCUUGGGGGCGAGGGAAUUGGACCGAUCUCUGCGAAAUUGAUCGACUGUGGAGAAGAGUCAAACGGGAGGCCGCGGGGUAAAUCUUCUCGCAAUGAAAUAUAAUAUUUUUUCAAUUGUCAGAAUUUAACUUUGACGCUUCAGUCCUCCCUCCAUAAUUGAUUAUUUAUUUUUAUUUCCAUUUUCCCCAUCUUUCAAUUUUCACGCCAAAUUCAUGUCAUCCCUUGUUUGUGGUUAUUUACGGUUAGCUUCCUAACGUAUUAUGAAAUUAACAAUUUAGUCUACUUCAAUCUUUGAGAGGAAGUUGUACUAAAGGCCACUAACAUUAUGGUUGUCAAAACAAUUCUGAUACUCUGAUAACUGUUUUCAUCGGAGCUAAUUUAGUAGUUGAUGCAACUUUCCUUCUCUUUGAACUUUCUUCUCAUGCUCGUUGAUGCAACUCCGGCAUCCUCUUCCUCUUCACCGUCCCCCGAUGCUGUUCUGCCCUCCCCUCAGGUCAAGUCUUUGGGAAGCUAUUGUCUCUGAUUUAGAUCUCGAGCUCAAAUGUGUGGAUCUCACGUCGGCUUGCUUUGUUGAUGCUGGGAUGCUCCGUUUUCUGCAUGCAGUGAUUGCCAAGGGUGUUCAGAACUUCGUAACUAGCUAUAAAACUGCAGUAACAAGUUAGUUAUUGAUGCUCCGUUGUGUAACCAUUUACAUAUUAUUAUAAUUAGGUAUGCAAAGGUGGUCGAUUCAUGAAACUAGUUAUUAUAGAAUGAUGUAACUAGUUAUAGACGAUUAUAAUCAGUGAUUCGUGCAAUUAGUCACAGAAAAUUAUACCCUAUUACUGAUCAUUAUAAUCAUUUAUAGAAAACUAUAACUUGUUACGUACGAUUAUAAGAUGUUACCGAAUAAAAGAUUACAGAAUAAAAGUAUGUACAAAACCAAACAAAAUGCUUUGUAAUUCCUUUCCAAAGGCCUUCGGCCUAAGUGUUAAUAUUCUCUUAGAUUCCUGACCGACAUCAACAAGCCUCUUUUUCUUUGAGCACAUUACCCUUUUUUCACUAUUUUCUCUUUCGUUUAUCAGAGAAUCCCCUCUACAAACAAAGUGACUUUUCAAUCUUUUUGAAAGCCAAUUACCUUCGCCAUCUCUUCCCAAAACCCCUUUUGAAACCCACAUUCUCCCUUUUGGAAACUACUCACUACUGCUCUAUCUAUAUUUUACAAACUUCCUUUCAAUGAAGUACUACUCGAAACUAGCAUAACCCGCAAUCGACUCAACCAUGAUACUUUCAUUCCCUCGACUCCUGUGCACUGACCUUCACCUUCUUCUUUACUGCUGAAUAGUGUUUGGUCAGAGCAGUCGAGUGAUGCCCCGCAUGCUGAGUUGUAAGCCAUGCACGCUGAAUGGAAAACUCGCAGCCUGUUGUCGCUGUCUUUAUCACACUUUUGAAUAGAGAUCUGGUAUGGAGGUAGAAGAACAGUUCAAAUAAGUGAUCCAUCAUUUCACAUAAGGGUUGAAAUAAAAGGGUUCCUUACCCAGCACGCUAGUCGUUUAGCAGCUGCGUCACAAUAGCUGCUUCCGAAUAGGUUGAAUAGCUUACGAGCACCACCUGGGAAUAAUCUAUGGUAAUUUGGCAUUACAACAACUUCUUCUAGUUGUUGCAGUAUGCUUGAUUUCUGUGUGACAGCUAAUGUAACUUAUAUUUCAAAUUACUAAUGCAGAACAUGAUGAAGAUAACAAACUUAUCAAAGAUGAGAGUUUCAAAAGGAUCAAAUUACCGGUGGCACAGUCGACGCCAGUGUAACUCUUUCUGCACUUGCAGACACCAUCUCCAAGGCACUUGCCAUUUCCGUUGCAAUUACCAGGGCAGACUCCUGCAAAAGGAAUUCACGAAACGAAAUAGCAAGUCAUUUUUUAGAUGUUCACAUCGCACACAAAAGUUAUGUUGCAUUAAUUGUAGCUUAUUCUGCCAUCAUGGUACAAAAGUAGAGAAGUUCAGGCUUACGUUUACUGCAAUCAUGACCAUGAUAACCUAGGAAACAGUGGCACCUCCCAUCGAUGCAAUCCCCAUUGAAGUUGCAUGAUUUAUGGCAUUGGCCAGAUACAGGGAGAGGAUCUGUAGCACAGAGUUCAUGAUAGGCUGGGCAGAUGAGUUCACCUGCAAAUGAAGGCAAAUAAGAACCAACUCGAAGCCAGAAAAAGGAUUCUAGAAGAAAAAUCAUAAUCAAGUUACAGAAAAGCUAGAUUACCAUUAAAUCCAGGAAACUCAAGUGGUCCACCUGCUUCUGGACAAACUUUCCAUUUUCCAUCCACGGCGACCUGUGAAAGAUGAUAUGACAACCAAAUCGAUCAAAAGACCAAGCCAUGAAUAGAGCGUAAAAAGAACACAAAGUUCCGUAAGCCUCUGAGUUUCCAAACUACAAGAUGAAGAUAACAUCGGAUAUACAUACCUCUAAAGAGCUAUUUAAACAUCUAUGUUGAUAACACCCAUUUCCUUGAGUCAUUGAACCUCUCACAAAGCCAGUACGUACUAAUGAAGACGCCAUACACCUACACAGAUAGCAGAAAUAUAAGUGCUAAUUUGUGAGGUAAUUCCUCUUAUUAUUGAUCUUGAAUGAUAACUAACUCUAUUUAUAAUAGAGCUGUACAACUAGGGUUAGAGUCCAAGUUCUUGUAAGAAAAGACUACUACCCUUAUUAGAAUAAUACUGACUUUCUAUGCAAAAAAGGAAAAAUAAAAUAAUCCUAAAUAGGUUGCCGUAUCUCAACACUCCCCCUCAAGCUUGAUGUAGGCAUUGUAGAGAUCAAGCUUGCCCUUGAGGUAGGCUCUGUACUUUGCCUCGACACAGCUUCUAGCAACUACAUGUUGUUUCUUGCUCUUCCAAGUGACCAAAUUUCCCCACACAUAUGUGCAGUAAGACACAACUAUUGAUUACAGAAGGCACUCACUUUCCAAAUUAAAACUUCUCAUUAUUAAAAACCCUAAUGCCCUGAAGUACACACAAUGGACACCAGAUGAAGAAAAAAAAUCCGUAGCUGACUAUUUCACGAUUUAGACCGACGGCUAAAGUCAAAAACUCCCAACCCCCAAAAACUCUUCCCUCCUACCCUCGUCGGAGAAGAAGAAAGUUUCAUCCUUUCACGCUAAAGCACCAAGAAAGACAACAAACAGAAUAAGAUUGGAUGAGAAAUUCUACAGUAAGCACAACUGACCUCGAAGACAACAACAGUGAAUCUAAGGUUAGUGGGAAAUCCACGCCAGCAACAUGGACUGAUGCAGCGGACAACCAGCUCCAUGAAAUGGCGUCGAAAGGUUCAAGAGUGGAGUUCCUCCUCUCUGAUUCCAUCAAACCGCCACCGAGGAUUCUCCGAUGGGCUCCAACCAACAGAAAAAUCGCUCGUUCUCCCGCAUUUCAGGCAAAUGAACACAAAUUUCGGAAACACAAACAAAAUAACAGAAACCCAGGAAAACUGUGACAGAGAGAGAGAGAACUCCGAAUUCCGAGCCUUGCCGGAGCAGAAGAGGCCGCAACGGGCUCUGACACAACUCGGCAGAGCUCCGGCUGGGUACUCGGGAAGAAACAAACACAGAGAAAGAAGAGAGGAGUGGAGUGGAGUGGAGUGGAGUGGAAUUCACAGAGUGAAUGCGAUUGGAACAAGAAGAAAAGCAGGGGGAGAGAGAGAGAGAGUUUGAGACCCAAAAGAAAGAGAAAUGGAAAGGGAGGAAGAUGGAUAGGUGGGUCUCUCUUUCCUUUGCCUUUGGAUUUGUUGGAUUACUUGCUUCCUUUCAAUUUCUUCACCAUUUUUCUCGUUUUUUAAAAAAAAUAUUUAUUCAUUUCAUUUAUGUGUUUAGUUUUCUGAGAGUCUCUUUGUAUUUGAUGUCUUCAUUAUUUUGUAUACAUAUGUAUUAGUAGUUAAGAAUAGUGGGUGGUGGGGUUGGUAAACAACUUCCAUUAUAUUAGCCGUUGUUGUAAGGGUUAAUUAUGUUAUAAUCAUUUUAUUUUGUUUUAGUGUGUUGUGUAGUUUUUUUUUUUUUUGUAUGAUAUACUUAUCUAUAUCUCGUAAUUUUUUUUGGUUAAAGGAUAAUUAUAGUGAACAUUAUGUAUAAUUGCAUAACCGCUUUAGUUGUUAUUUUUUGUAGUUGUAAUUCGAAAAUCGGUAUUUACUCAAAAUCUUUCUAAUUUGGGUGGGUAAAACCCGUUUAACAUGGGUAAUUGACAGGUAUGGAUAAAUUCGGUACCCGUUCAAAACGGAUAACGAACGAGGACUGGUUUAAUAGUAUCCUCCUGAUAGGUACCCGCCAUAUACAUUGUGUUGUUUAAUUAUAUAUGAAUAAAUCAAAUCUCAUUAAGAGUUCACUAAAACCCUACCCUCUCUAUCUUUCUAUUUCACGAAAAAUCAUUUUUUUAUAUCACCAAUCAUAUCUCACCUUACUUUUCACCAAAUUAUUUUCCUUUUUCAUUUGUUUUUCUUUCUUAAUACUUUUUGUUACUCAAAAUUUGCCAAUAUGAGCUAUUAUAUUUUGACCAUUUUAUAAUCUAAAAACCAAAAAAUGCUCUAUUGUGUCUAUUGGAUAGGUUUGGCAAUGGGUCAGAUAUGGGGUGGAUACCCCCUAUCCGUUACCCGUGAAUAAUGCCCACGGGUUUUACCUGUCACCGACCCAUUAAGUUUGAUGGGUAAAAGAUUGUUACCAAACUCAUGUUGGUACGGUUUUCGGGUAAACCCAUGGUUGUCGGGUAUUGCCCAAUGUUAAGUAAAAACAGUGUAAUUUCAUUAAACUCAGAAUUCAGAAACUGAAAUGUAAGAAGUACCCAACAUCUUUACCCAUAUUCCACAACUCUGGGAAAUGAACUCGGAAAGAAAAUAACAUGAACUGGUGAAGAUCCAAUCAUCCAGAAUAGAAAACUUAAAAAAAGUAAUAGGUAGUUCAUUGAACAUAAAAUAAAAUACUAAUAAACCUAGAAAUUGAAGUCUUUCCUCAUGAGUGAUUCAUCAUCAGCAACAUUUAUCACUCAUCAAAAUUCAAUAUCUACAAGAUAAACAAUGUUGCAUCAUGUAUUAGUCCGACUUUGAUCCAUAUAGGAUGCAUAACCAUUUGUGGAGGAGCAGUUAGAACACAAACCUAGGACUAGUCGUCUAGGUUUGUAACAGCUGCAACAUCAUCUACAUCCCCUUGCACUUACUAAUUCGUGCCUUCUCCUUUAAUUAUACAAAGAUACAAACAUAGAAGUAUUGUCAAUGGAGAUUAAAAGUUUUAAAAGUUUCAUUUUUUAGAUCAGAGAUUCAUAGACAAAUAGUAGAGAACUAGAGAUUUCUGUAAUUUGAAGUUACUCCUGAAAUCACUAGUCAGUCAAAAGGAUUCGAUCAACAUUACAAAAGUAGCUACAGAGUUUAAAUGCAUCUAACAACCUAACAUCAUGCAUCUAACAACGUAACAUUAGACAUCUUAAAAAUUCUCUUCACAAUCUAACUGAACUACUUAACACUAUACAUUUACAGAAUCAUAAGCAAUCAGUCAAUCACAAUUAAUAUGUAUAGCAAUCUAUGUUUACUAAUUAAGCUUACCUCAAUAGUCGAGGCACUAUCAUGUCUCCUGAGCAAUAGCACCAAUCUCACAUGAAUAACAACAUAAUAACUUGGAUUAGGGUUUCUAGAAUGAGCAAUAGCAACAAUCUUACUACUUAAGUAGUUAAGCUUACCUCAACAGACGUUACUCAAAGCUACAAAUUCCGGUCCUGCCUCCAGAGCAAGCUACAAAUUCCUGUCCUGCCUCCAGAGCAGUAGCAACGAUCUAAAAUACAUAUGAACACAAUACAUUAGAUUAGGGUUUCUAGAAUUAGGAUUUCUGAAAUUGAAGAACAAAAUAAGAAAGGAACUAGCUAACUAACUCGUACGAAGCCAAUGAAGAAAUCCGCAAAAGUAUAGAUUAGGGUUUGUUGCUUUCUUGAUUUUUCUUAAUGAACAGAAGAACUGCAGAUGAAAAACCCCUAAAAUAAGUCAGCUAUUUAUGGAUACAGAAGUAUGAAACGAUUACUAAAGGUAAGAAUCAAAAACUUGUCUCGAUCUAGGGCAGAAAUCACAUGCAUGCACGAUUCUCUGAGAAUAUGUGUCGAUUGAGGCAUUUUCGGUGAUUGAAGGAUGGAUUAGGAAUGAUUUAUGAUGAUAUUGAUCAUGAAAUUGAAGAUUUUGGAGAGAAAAAGGCUGAAAAAUGUGGCGAAAUAGUAGGGAUCAAAGAUUUCUCGUCGUUUUGGUUGAGAGAGAAGGUCAGAUUGGGAGAAAAUUUGAGAAUAACUAAAGAGGGGGGCUGAAUGCGGCGGAAAUUCGCAACUAAAACCCUAAACAAUAGUCUUUAUACCACGUCCAAACCAACGUCCUUUUGCUACCAGUUUGGGGAUGGGUCGGUUAUCUCAAUAACCAUAAUCGCCCGUCGCCCGAGUUUGGCGGGCCUCGGGUAAAACCCGACAACUAAACGGGCGGGUAAUGAAUAUACCAAACCUGUCCUCAUACUCACUCAUUUUCAUUGAAUUAAUACAUAAUUCUAGCCAAACCUAUUAAAAUUUUUACAAAUUUAUCCCAGCCUAUCCAUAUUACAAUUAUUAUGUCAAACCUUUGAUAGUUUGGUCAGUGAUAGCCAGUGAAACAAAAAUUUCGUUAAAUCAAACUUAGAAAAAUUGAUGUUGUUAAUGUGAUGAUUUGGAGAUAACAUGAGUCGGCAAAAUUGCCACAUCAAUUUACAUGUUCUUUUAAUGGAACAAGCGAGAGAAAAUAAAUCAAACUAAAACUAUUUUAUUAAAGUAAAUUAAGCCUCAACCUCAAAAAGCCUCCAUCUCGAUCACCUAUCCUUCUCCUUUCUUCUCCUCUCCAUCUCCAUCUCCAUCACAGAUCCUCUUCAUCUCUACUACAAAGGAAGGCGAGACUGGGUUUUUACUUUAUACUUAUGAGAUGGAGAAGGAAGAUGGAUUGAUAGUGAGAUUUGGCUGAGAAUUCGAUGAGUUUGGAUUAGGACUAGGUCUUGUAGUAGAGGAACAUAGAUUACGGUCUCCAUCAUCCAUAAGAUCUCAAAAGAUAGCAGGAGAGAAGUUAUGGCCUGUAUUAUUUACUCCAGCCGAUGGGGCGGUGGGGUUCGGGAGGCAGAUCCUGAUAUCGAUUGCUAUAUCUACAAUGUUUAGGGUCUCGAUGACGCUUUCUGUGGUGUUUGGAGGAUUCACCGGCUUUUGUGAGAUCCCCGGGUCAUAGGUAUCAGAUUAGGGAUAGCCUUCCUUCGUCGAGCAGAGUACUUGAUUGGCGAUUGAAAAACCUUGGUCACUCCACUUUUCUAGUAAUAAAGUCCAACAUUAGUCUUUCUCCUCCUGAAUCCUAAUAUUUGACGAGAUAUUUGAAUUAACACACAACAUAGAGUCUAAUGAGGUUAAUGCAUGUUGGCGGUCGAUCCUGUUUAGUGGUGUGUAAAGACGCGAUGUAGAUUAACCAACAUGUGAUUAGGUGCAUCUCUCGAUAUAACUCUCUGAGUUGCAACUCCUUAGGGAAUUGAUCAUAUUGUGUUAGUGUUUAUUGAGCGAUGAUGAAAUGAAAGCACGUAUACGAUUUGUUUGUAAAAAAACACUAAUAUAUCUAAUUAAGUAUAUAAUGCAAAGUAUGUCGAGUUUGGAUAAUAUAGAGUCUCGUGUGUCAUUGAAUUCACUGAGUUUGGAGGUAAAGAAGUUGAGAUGUAAUGACACUUCCAAAGUAUCAUGCCCAACAGUAUGUUUGAAACUAUUGGAAGAAGUAGACGAGCAGACUACACCGAUUUUGUAUGAAUCGAUGUAUCUCCAAGCAAAUUGUCGUCCGUCAUUUGUAGAGAACAUCGAAUCUCCAAAUACUCAAGAAUUAAAGGAUUGGUAACGAAUUGAUAAACCUGUUGUAGCCGUGACAAAAGAACUAACAACAUCCUGAAGCACCAAAACCGGCAACACCAUAACUCAAGUUAGACCCCAUGGACCCAUGAACUGCUGCAUUGACAUGAAUACUUCAAGCUGUAAUGAAGGUAACUGGACAUAAUGUUGAUGACUGGGAUAAGGAGUUACAAGCGCAGGCACCAAAAAUGGAGCAUGAAGAGCUUCAAUGAAUUAUGACGAGAAUUGCGAACUAGAGAAGUGACGGAUUAUUGCUUCUGUUCGAAGAUCAGUAUAUUAUAUGACCUUCCAUAAUUACCAUCAGAAGAUAGUAAGUUUCAUGUAAUUGACCAAACUCAAAAGACAACACGACCUCCAUAAGUUUACUAAGUGACCGGAAAUACUAGCAAAAAUAUCACAGCUACAUGCUUCUGCAUAGACCUGGCAAUUCGGGUGAGUCGGGUUAAUUUGGGCGGGUCGCAUCAGGUUACAGGUCACCGUUCGGAGCCUCAUUCAACAGCUUUCAGGGGCCUUAUUAGAGAUGAAAAUGGUCAAUGGAUUGUUGAUUAUCAUAACAGAAGUGGUACCCAAGAUUUUUUACAGGUCGAGUUGCUCGCAAUUCGUGAUGGCAUAUCUCUGCUCCAAAUGCUCAAUUACAAAACAGCGAUUGUAGAGUCAGAUUCUCUUCAUGGAGGUUGGCUAGUAACCUGCGAAGACAUCUCUAUCCACCCUCUCUUCUCGAUUAUUAUGGAUAUUAGAAGUGGCCUAAAACAAGGGGAGAAUUUUAAGCUGCAACAUGUGUUUUGCAAAGCAAAAAAAGCAGCUGACAUGCUAGCGAAGAUGGGUCACACCCAAGAGAAAAUAGGAGAACAUCUGCAGCCUUUUGUUGGGGCGCAGCGGACGAGAAUAGAGUAAAUUACACUAAUAAACCACAUACCAUAAAUAUUUUUCAGAAAGGUUGGAAGUGGUGGUAGUCCACCACACUUAAAAUCACUAUGGAUGGGUGAUUACCACCGCAAUACCAUAAUGACGAUAAUUAAGCCAACCUCCUUAGACCAAUUUACUGUGGUAAUAUUAAUAAUGCAAUAUACAACGAAUAUUCUCGAAAUUGCAAGGCACAAAACGGUAAGUAAAUAACACUGAGAUUUACGUAGUUCCCCUCAAAUGCGGAGAGUACAUCUACGGCAGCAGCGACAGCUACGAGCACUUCUUCACUAUAACAAGGUAGCUACAAGGUGAUCCGAGCCGAUCCAAAAUAGUGUCUCUCAAGUGUUUCCCAACCUCGAAACAACUGCUCACUAUUUUUAUCGCUCACAUCCUAUCAAGUAAAACAUUUAUCGAGACUUUCUACUGCUCACCUAUCUACCCAAUUGAGAUAACUUAUCUCAAUUAUUAAACAAGUGAAAAUUGCUACAUACAACACUACUAAAAAGAAACGAGUACAGAGAAGUGAGAAAGGAAGAAGAGAGGAAUGAUUGAAAUGGGAUGCAGUAGCUUCCCUUUUAUACUGGAAAUAUGGAGAGACCAAUUGAAAGCAAUUGGUUGUGUCAUCCAAUUAGUUGAAUCCCCAACUAAUUUCCCGAUGCACUAAAUUGAAGGUGGUGGUUUUUUUAUUAUUUUAUUUUAUUAAUUUUUUCGGGACCAACACCUUUUUCUCCAGCUGAGCUCGAUAUGGUGAUAUCCUCUUGAGGGUGAAAUUAUUGAAGAUGCGGGAGCCUAACGACUGACCCGGUUUCCAUUUUUGUUUUCCCUAUUCUUUUGAGUUUUCCAUUCUACCAAAAAAAAUACAAACUAACGCCCCUCAUACGCAACCAAUUACGUCACUUCACAUGGACCAUAAAAUCAGAUAACCCGAACAUUUGCAGGUCGUUUAAAUGAGUUAUUUUGCAAAUGAGGUAUUUGAAAACAAAAUGAUACAUAUUAGGAAAUAUGGUAUUCUUGAGGUGCAAAACAUUUGAGGUGUAAGAAUUACCUUGUGUUUGCUUGUUUUGUGUUUGUUUUGCUAACACAAAACAAGGUGUAUGUGUUUUAAAUUGAGGGUUUAGAGUUGAAUUAUUUCAAACAUCACCUUCAUAAAUAAAUUUUUGAAAUAACUCGAUUCGAUGUAUUUCAAAUAUUACUGUUUGAAAUACCAUGAUUUUUAUUUUAAAUGACAAACAAGUUGAGUUAUUUGGGCCAAAAUAUAUCAUUCAAAUAUUUCGAUGAAACGAUCCGUAAAUAUGCACGUAGGUUAGGAUUAAAUAUCAUCAUCCUAGCAGGCAAUUCAAGUAUAAAAAUUUCCAUUAAUUGAGUAAAGUUUGAUGUGUUGCAAGUAUAUUGUCAAGUGUUGGGGGCUACAAUGUUUUUCUCCACCGGACUAAAAAUUUCCAAAACUUCCGUACCUAAAAAUUAAAUAANNNNNNNNNNNNNNNNNNNNNNNNNNNNNNNNNNNNNNNNNNNNNNNNNNNNNNNNNNNNNNNNNNNNNNNNNNNNNNNNNNNNNNNNNNNNNNNNNNNNNNNNNNNNNNNNNNNNNNNNNNNNNNNNNNNNNNNNNNNNNNNNNNNNNNNNNNNNNNNNNNNNNNNNNNNNNNNNNNNNNNNNNNNNCAAAACAUUUGAGGUGUAAGAAUUGCCUUGUGUUUGCUUGUUUUGUGUUUGUUUUGCUAACACAAAACAAGGUGUAUGUGUUUUAAAUUGAGGGUUUAGAGUUGAAUUAUUUCAAACAUCACCUUCAUAAAUAAAUUUUUGAAAUAACUCGAUUCGAUGUAUUUCAAAUAUUACUGUUUGAAAUACCAUGAUUUUUAUUUUAAAUGACAAACAAGUUGAGUUAUUUGGGCCAAAAUAUAUCAUUCAAAUAUUUCGAUGAAACGAUCCGUAAAUAUGCACGUAGGUUAGGAUUAAAUAUCAUCAUCCUAGCAGGCAAUUAAAGUAUAAAAAUUUCCAUUAAUUGAGUAAAGUUUGAUGUGUUGCAAGUAUAUUGUCAAGUGUUGGGGGCUACAAUGUUUUUCUCCACCGGACUAAAAAUUUCCAAAACUUCCGUACCUAAAAAUUAAAUAAAACCUAACAAUUAAAUAAAAAUAUAUAUUUUAUUGUUUACCAUUCUAUCGUGUUUGUUGCGAAGGCUUCUCAAUUCUACAAUUUCACGAUAGCAAGUAUCAAACAUGGGACCAAAAUGUGGGAGGAAAUUGAUAUCUAAGCAAGAUGACAGAGUUGAAGUAGGACAUCAAUAUACAGUAUGUUUCAGUAGCCAGAGAGAGUAGCUAGGUUUCAGUACUAGUUGUUGCCCGAAACAAGUAGAAGAACCGAACCAACCGAACUGGGUUCAGCACGCAGCAUGUGGGAAAUCUGAAGUUGCCUUCCUCUGUACAUUAUUAACAGACCUUUUGGACCUAACUUCACUCUGUUAAAAGCCUACGAUGUUGGAUUUGUGUAUGCAAAUGGAGGCACAUAUUAUUUUCAACAAAAUGAAAAUAUCCACUUAUUCUCUGCUUUCAGGUAGCUCGAUCAGCCAUGUGCUGCAUUCUGGGAUCCCUUUAUAUCCACUCAAUUGAAUAUGUGAAUAUACAACCACACAUAUUGGUUACAAAUUCAGUUCAAAACCACCGUCCACAUUAGUCUUCUCAUAUGAAAACACCUCCAGCUACCGUUAGAUUGUUUAAUAUGAUCUGAUGGUUCAUAAUAAAAGGAUAAAAUUGUAAAUCAGUACCUACAUUAGUUUCCCGGAGAAAAGGUUUCAUUUAAUUCCCGUAUUUACACCGCGCUCGGCUACUCAAGAAGGGGAAUCGUACAAACCUUGUUCUUUCAUUUUAUCAAACCAUGAUCGACCGAAACUUGUGAUUCAACAACAAUAAUUCUUCUUCCUUUCUUUAAUCUCCCAACAACAGCAACAUUAAUUGAUUCACCAAUAUAAAAUAUCUGAGCCCGCCCCGGAGUCUUGUAGGAAAUUUCCGGCUGUAAUGACUUUUGUUGUAAAAAUUUAUAACUUGUCACCCUAAUUUUAAGUAGUGGCCAUCCAUAGGAGGAAGUGAUUAGUAAGUAGUCCUGCUAUCACUUAUAAUAUUAUUAGUAGCCAGACAUAUCUUGUACUCAGUGUAAUGGGUUUAUUUGGUGAAAUGAAAAAGUUGGUUGACAAAACAAAAACCUAACAAAUGCCCAAUUGAUGAAAACAUGCACGUACCUGAAAUAAAUUACUGUUACUAUUUUCAGAUUAAAAAAAGAUGGUUGCUAUUUACUCGGUCUUCAUGACACACAAGAGUUUGAAAAAAGGAAAUGGUUACUAUUUAGUGAAAGUCAGCCGCUUUUUAGUUUGCCGUCGGUAUUAAUUUCACUGAGGUGAUUGAAUUUGCCCCUAAAAAAUGCCCUGUUUUCCGUCUUAAUUUGCAUACUAAUGAUGUGUUUAGUAAAAAAAGAAAAAGACUAAUGUACCCCAAUAUACUAAUCAUUAUUUACAAAAAGGCCGCACUUCCUCGUACACCAAAUGCAUUGGUACGUAGAUCCCAUUCAUAACCAAAAAAGGCGGUUCACAUGUUCUCCACCCUCAAAAAGCAACCCCGAUCACUAUUAGUUACCAUUAUCAUUACUCCUAACUACCCAUAUUUCUCGCCAUCCGUUUCGAACUAACUAUCGACUUUUAGUUCGAGUCCAACAAAAAAAAAGAUGCAGAGUAUAUAAAGUUUACCAUCACAAUCUAUUCUACGAACAAGCAAUGCGAUCCCACUCUUCUCGUUUCAGCCCUUUAGAAGGAUGUGAAGAGAAGUUAUUAUUGUUGAAGACCGUGCAGAGAUGCUCAUAUUUCUCUAGAUCAAAACCAUGAAGCUUCAUCAGCUUCUUCUUCUUGACAUGAAAUCUGUGGCCAAAGUAGCCUUCAAAUGUAGGUUCAGUGGAGGUCCUGAGAAAGAAAGUGUAGGCCAUCCCGAAAUAGAGAGAGGUGGUGAAAAAGCAAAUAGGCUCCAUCACAUCCCAACUCAGUUCCCAGAACGUCAGUCUCAUAAAACCCAGCGUCUGAGCCGUUAAAAAGCCCAGCCCGCAGUAGAGCUCAGCUCGAACUUGGGCUCGUGCCUUUUCGUCGAUUUGGGACUUUUCCUUGUGCAUCUCUUCUAGUGUUCUCUUCCUUGGAUCGUUUGUGCGUGCUAUUAUUGACUCUGAGAUUAUGCCUUCCAUCGAUUCCGCAACCUGUUCGAACCCAAAUAAGAAUCAUAUUAGCAUAAUCAGUAACACUGAUUGGAAAGGCUUGGUUGUUUUUUUGACUAGGGUUAGACUGAUGUAGAGAUUACCUAAAUGUUUUUUUUUAGUGAGAGAUAACAUAGUUGAAAUAAUGUGUCUUGUCAUCCGAUUAGGAGUCCGAUUAUGGGUUUAGGGAUAUUGCUUUUUGGAUUUGAUUCAGGAGUAAUCUAAACCUUUGGAUUUUUAUAUUAUUUAAGGGUCAAGAUUGAUCAAGGAUAAUGUGAUUAUGUUGUUUGAAAUAUAUUUGUUGGACCAGAUUACAACAAGCUUCGAUCGUCGGACCACCGUCUCUCGUGAAUGGACCACCAUCCCCGCUAACCAGAAAGUUUCCUAGUCAAUUUCCCGACAAUUCUGACGUGCGUAGAUGAAGUAUUUUUCACCCACAUGAUCACCGUCAUCGGCUCUAAGUUUCUGGAAAAUAACAAAUCUUUUCUGGAAAUAUUGUUUGACUACCGGUCGUACAACUUUGUAUGGAUCAUACAAAUAUGUGCAUAGACUUGUACAAACUCGUACAUGAAUGUAUACACAUUUGUAUGAAUUUUAUAUAAAGUUUAAUGCUAAGUACUAUAUUAAAUAUGAUACUUAAUACAACACUUAAUAUAUAUACAUUUAUAUGGGUGUGAAAUGUCCUUGAUUUUUAACCAUUAGAUCUAACAAAUAAAAUUUAAAUGAUUGAGAUUUGUACAGUCUUUUUAAAUCAGAUGUACAAGCAUUUCUCUGAUUCCAUAUUCAAACUAAUUAGAGAGAAAACCGUUCUCUUGUUAAAAACAUUUUUUAAGAAAUUAACAAACUUUAUACCUGCUCUGGCCGGAGAAAGACGAUGUUCCCUAAAACAAUGACGUUUCCAGACUCGUCGAGCUUUCUGGCGAAAUUGGCGCCUUGAUCCUCAUUUCCGCAUUCCUGAACGCAGAUCUGAGCAAAUUCCGACAGCGGGAUCGAGCUCGUCGGGAUCGAGUUCAGCCUCGCUUUCAAUUUCUCCAUCUGAGCCAGCCUUAAGAUCUUCCUCGUUUCCUCAACAGACAUACCGCGUCGGCCGAUCGCCGGAGCCGACGACGAUGAAGUAGGAGGAGGUGGAUUAAGUCCAGUCCACUGUAGUCGGUCAUCGGCUACGUUGACGAGCCGGAGUUUCUCCCGGAGUUUAUCGCCGACAGGCAAAGAGAGGAACUCCGGCAAAUGGUUCCUCAGCGCCGUACGAUGGAUAAAACGGUUCCAAUUGAGUCCGCUGUUGGCGACUUCCUGGAGCUCCUGAUGUAGGUUCGAUCUUGCGGAGUUUGGGCUCACCGAGUAUUUGACGGCCGGCGAAGGCGCAAAGUGACCGACGGCGUGGAGACGCUUGGAGAAUAAUUUCCGAAGUGCCAUUGCUAUUAAAUUGAAAUUUGGAGAGUGAAAGGAAUCUCCGGCGAAGAUGCUGGAAGUUUUGUAAGUGUUUCCUGAUUUUGAUGAGCGAAAGGCGAAGAGUAUUUAUAUAUACUGAUCAUAAGCUCCGGAAAGAGAAUCAGAAUCUUUUUUUUUGUGUGAAGUGAAUCAGAAUCUUACACAAUCGUUAAGUUAAUUAUUAUUGUGUUCACAAUUUAGUAUUACCAAAUUAGCAACUUCAACAAUAACUCAUAUAAUAAUUUUUACCCACCUCUAUUUCUGAAUUUUAAACAAUUAACAAAAAACUGAAAAUCAAACGAUACAAAAGAUGAAUAUUAUUUAUUUACUAUUAAAAAUGCAUUUCUCUAAAGAUGAGCUCAUAAGCAUUUGUGAUAUUAUCAAUUUACUUUUUAAAUUAAUAAUUUUAUUAAUUUAAAAAGCAUUUAUAAAAUUAUAUAUUUUUAAUAAUUGCUAAUAAAAUGUUAGCUCACAGUCCACCUCAUUUUAAUAAUUACUAAAAUUUGAGGCAAAAAAUACUUUUAAUCUUAAACAUAUUUAUGUCAGCUGAUUUUGUUAAACUCUUGCAAAGUUCAAUUAAAUUCAACCAUUCAUUUAAACAAAUGACAUUUUUAUCUUUUCACAUUUUUCAUUUACUUUUUAAGUUUUUGAUCAUCAGCCACUUUAGUAUGAGACUCUGCACCUUUUUAUUCCUGAUGAGUCUUCAGCGAUCGGCAAUGAAUUUUCGAUGUCUUUUCCGGUGAGUCAUCAACAAAAUUUCAUGCGAGUCUUCGAUGUAGUUCUUACCAGAACUCCUCACGAUAUCAACCUUUACUUGAAAAAGAACUUAGGUGAAGCCAUUAAUCAAGAAGAAUAUGCUACAGUGAGAUGGGGAGUUAAUGUUUCUUAUGAACUAUACCACAUCAUAUUUAGAGGCACUUUUAAGAGAAGAUGAUAAAAAUCAUUUCUAAUCUAGAUGAUUAAUUCUAAUCAUUGAUUUCUAAUUUUUUCAGAUGAAUAGAUAAUUAUUUAUUGCGUAUUUUUUUAUAUUUAUCUUUUUAACUUCCUUUUUUAUGGGUUUUUAUCUACAAUUUUCUUCCUUCUUUUUCCCUCGGCUGGUUCUCAAAUCGUUGAUGAUAAGGGUUUAUUUUUUAAUUAAAUUUCAUGGUGGUUAGGUCAAAUUUUGAUUUGUCUUCUUUUAGAAUCAUGAGUAGCUAAUUCUUUAGAGUUUCUUGGUUGAGAUGUAGAAUUUGAGCUAUGAUACUCUCCCUAAAAGCACAGGGUCAACGAUUAUUGGAUAUUUGGAUUCAAAUGAAAAAUUGUUUUGAUUGUUGGUUUUUCAACCUUGUUCUUGUUCCGACUUGAAUUAGGUAAAAUCUAUGAAAUCCUUAUUUGAUCGAUUAUGGAAUUCAUAUGAUUAACAAUCUAAGAUAGAUGAAAGUUAUCGGUGGGGUAAGCCAAUAGCUCGAUUCUACCAUUCGUGUUUCUUUUAGUUCUAAAGGUUGUUCAUCUUGUAAUUGGCGGACGCUCUGAUUUGCACCUAAUGGACCAAGUUGGCUGUAGUUAUCAGUAGUUUAGGUAUUGAUGGACCAAUUUAAUACAAAUUCCGAUUACUCGUGAUUUCAUUUAAUUUUGAAAGAGCACCUUAUCACUUUGUAGAACUUAUCGAUGUUCAUUACCAGUUAGCCUAGUUGAGAUUAUUCUAACCUUGGUUGGGAAACUAGUAGUGGUAAUCCGCGUGCAUGAUCGUGUCACGGAUUCAUACGAGCGAUAAAAGAAAUCGUAUUAUUUAAUCCAAGUCCUACAUUUGUUCGAUCCAACGUUUGUUUUCUCCCCUUGAUCAAACCUUAAUUGUCUAUUUUAAUUGAGUUAUUAGAAUAAUUAGAAACCAAAAUCAUUUCAUUCAGUCUAUACCAUGUUGACGAGUUUGAGUAGAAGCAUAAUUAGAAGAAUCCUUGGACACAUACCACACUUGUGUUGUCGAGAUAACUUCGUAAUUAUUUUGACGAUCAGUCUACUGCAUCAAAUAUAAUUAUGAUGACACAUUUGGACGGUACAAGGUACGAUUGUUGGUUGCCAAAGGUUUCACAUAGAUAUAUGGGGUUGAACUCUUGGACACUUUUUUCUAUUUGCCAAGCUCAACUCUGUCAAAUUCCUCCUAGUUACAGCAGCUGCUAAGGGCUGGCAGCUUCUGCAAAUGGAUGUCUCCGAUGCCUUUUUUCCAUGAUGAUUUUGAGGCAAAGGUAUAUAUGUGAGCUCCUCCUGACCUUGAUAUUCCUACUGGUUAUUGUAACAAGUUAUAGAAGUCGUUUAUGGACUUAAGCAACUCAACAUGCAAUGGUUUGCCAAACUUGUUUCAACCUUGCUUCUUCAUGGCUUCAGAAAAUCCAAUUCUGAAUAUUCCCUUUUCAUUAAAGGAGAAAAUGACGUCAUGGUUACUCUCCUCGUAUAUGUGGAUGACAUCAUCCUUAUAUGAAGCAACCUUGAUGCAAUUGAUGUUGUCAAAGCCUAUCUAUAGUCUCACUUCAAAAUCAAGACUUACGACAGUUGAAGUAUGUCCUUGGCCUCGAAAUUGCAAGGUCUCAAACUGGCAUUUCCAACCAAUGCAAGUAUUGCAUUGAGUUUCUCACUUACACUGGUUCUCUUGGAAGUCAAGGGUUAUAAGUCUCCCAUGGACACAAUCCAUCAUUUGACAUCUUUACAAGGAACCAAGUUGGAAGAUCCUACCAGCUACAUGCAACUAAUUAAUUGGUAGGUUAUACUAUCUUACCAUCACUAGACCAAACAUCUCAUUUGCCGUUAAACAACUAAUUCAGUUCCAAUUAGAGCCAUAUAGUGAUCAUAUUCAAGCAACACAUUAUAUCCUGAAAUACCUUAAACUUGCUCCUAAGGGUUGUUCUACAAAGUUGGUGCCGAGUUGUUGUACCUUUCUUGGUACCAACCUUGUCUCAUAGAAAUCAAUGAAGCAAUCCACUGUUUCCAAAUCCUCAUUAGAAGUGGAAUAUAGAGCUCUGACACAUUUUGUUUGUGUGGCACAAUGGCUAUUCAUUUUACUAUCAGAAUUAGGAAUACCAGUCUUUACACAUAUUGACAUAUACAGUGAUAACAAAUCUGCCAUACACAUUUCUGAGAACUCCAUGUUUCAUGAACUUACAUUAUAGGGUGCCAUGUGACAAGGAAAACCAUUAAAUAAGGCCUCAUCAAGCUUCAUCAUAUUUUAACAGAGCUACAAGUGGCUAACAUUUUCACCAAAGCUCUACACCGACUUUGUGUCCACCUCUUAUUGAGCAAGUUGGAAAUUCUGGACAUCCACUCGCCAACUUGUGGGAGAAUAACAACUGAGAAGCUAGAAGAGACUCACACUAAAUCUAAUGAGAAGGAUGAGUGAUCGCCCGAAUAACUGUGAAGUUAUUCCGACAACAUAAGUGUCGUUUGUGUCCGAAGGUUCCUCUCAUUAUGCCUCUACUCGAAUUCGUCAACACGGUUUAGACUAAAAUAAUUGGUUUUAAUUUCUAAUGAUUCUAAAGUUAACUAAAACUAUCAAUUUAAAGGUUGAUUCAAAUGGAGAAAUUGAGUUCUUGGAAGAGAAGAGUCAUUAAGCUCAACCAAAUGAGUUCUUGGAAGAGAAUAGUCAUUAAGCUUAACUGCCUAAAUGCAUUCAAAACGAGCGAAUGUGGACUUGAAUUAAAUAAAACGAAUCCUCCUAUCACUCGUAUGUGCUACCACUACUAGCUUCCCAACUAAGGCAGAAAUCCUCUUAAUCAGGCUAGCUGGUAACGAACACCGAGAAGUUCUACAAAUUGAUAGGGAGUUCUACCGGAACUAAAAGAAAUCAGAAGAAACACAAAAGGUAGAAUUAGGUUAUCGGUUUACCCCACCGAUAACUUAAUCCUAUCCUUGAUUGUCAAUCUAACUAAUUCCUAAGUCUUUCACGAACAAAGGAUUUCAUGAAUUUGACCUAAUUCUAGCCAUGACAAGAAUUAGGUUGAACACCAAACAAUCAAGACAAACUUUCAUUGCAAUUCAAUCAUCCACAAACGUCGAUCUUACACAUUCAAGAUAGGUUUCAUAGCUUAAUUCCUACAUCUCAACCAAGAAUCCCUAAGGAUUUUAGCUACUCAUAAUUCUAGAAGAAAGCAAUUGAAAAGAAACCCUAACCAUCAUCUUGCAAAGAAAUAUCGGCUUGUUCUUCUUCCAAUCAAUGCUUUUGGUCUUCUAUCUUCAAUCCUAUCUUCAAUCCUUGAGGGAAACUCUUUUGGAUCUUCAAUUUAGCUUCUAAUGGAGGUUUGGUGCUGGGUUUUGCAGAAGGAACUCGGGAAAAAUCAUGGAAAAAGAAGUUGGGGAAGUUGUUCUUCUCUUUCCUCAAAACUUCCCCUUUAUAGUAGCAUCCAGAUUUGGAGGGUGCACGCCGUGCACCUUCCUAUAUUGUCCGUUCCGCGUACCACAAACCAGGGAACGUUGUGCAGGGGUGCACGCCGUGCAUCUUCCGUUCUUCAAGAUCCCGCGUUGCAAAAAGGGGGAAACGCGGUACAGGGGUGCACGUCGUGCCCUUGUUUUGAGGCCGAGCUCUUGAGUUCUUUCAUGGACUGCACAGCGUGUGUACCUGCACUGUGUGUAGUCCCUCUGCUGUGCCAUUUUCUUUCUCGACUUCCCAUUCGAACUCCAAUCGCUCUCCACACCACGUCCUUGGUUUCAUAGUCAGAUCACUUAUCUCCAUAGUACCUGUAGGUGACAAAUACUACAAAGAAAACAUCAAAUGGACCGAAACAGUCCAAAUGAACGGAUCUAUACACAUGAUGCCAAAACACGAAAUCGUAGAGAACUGAAGUGCGAACAUACUAAUAACCACUCAAAUGCAUGUAUAAAAAGGGUAGAUAACUGCUACAAAUUCUAGCCCUAUCAAUGAGGAAGAGUUAGACCUAAAGAGAUGAGUGACCUGAGUGCAACGGGAAAGAAGAUAAAGGACUAAAGGGAACAUGUUUGUUUGAAGUUCAUUUAAUGUUGGUACGUCGUUUUAUCUUGUUUGUUUUAGUCCUCUUGAUCACUGGCAUAUAUUUCAGAGUUUGAACUGCUACAUUCCUUUUUGAAUUAAUACCUUCAGUUGUGAUUUCUCUUGGAGGGAUUGCAAAUAUUCAGGAAGAGAACACUUCAAGGACAGUGGCUCUGAGCCACUGUUCACAGUUUAUUCAAAGAUUCUAACGUUUAAUUUUGAUUGUUUUGCUGCUUUUUUAAUUAGUUAGGAAAAAUUCACCAAAUAGGCGCAACUUAUUCGGAAAAUACACGAUUUAGCACAUGUUUUUGAAAAUACAUUCUAUGGCACCGAUUUCAAAUAUAACAAGUCAGCCAUCGAUUUCGGAAAUGCCUUUGUGGCUAAGGAUCGUUGGUAAAAUAUUGCUAUGAAUGAAUAGCCACCGCUCGAGUGAAAUGAUGCAUAUGGUUCAAAAUACUGUAGCGUGGGAUCUUUGUCACCCAGAAUAUUUUCACUGCGAUUGGGAAUAAUAAUCCCAACAUCAACAUGCUAGGGGCAGAUAGGGGAAUGCAAUCUCAAGUUCCAAGUUAGGCAUCUUUGCAUUCUUUUUAGAUUCCAUUUUCAGGAAUCUUUACUAACAUUCUUUUGGAGACGUUAGUGGGAAGUCUAGUACAUCCAUUUUCCCACGUGGUUCCAACAAUUGUGGAGGAAUUAGAAAUUACAAUUUCACAUAACUAAAUAUGUUAUUAUAUUUGAUUGGGAGAAACCCAAGUGCUUUUGUAAGGCAUGCCCAUCUAGACAGCAUAUCCUCCAAAUUAACCCUGUUAUUUUUUGUGAGCAAAAUUGAAAAUCCAAAGAAUGAGUUACGUCUCUGUACUGUUUGGUUGAAUCAUUUUUAGCGUCGAUCAGCCAAUCAAAUUAGAAGCAGACCCUGAGAGCAAACACAGCCGCACAAACACCGGCCGCGAGUGACGGAGAACCACUGAUUGAUAAUAGUGAAACACAUUAAUAAUAUAUCUGAGGUUUUUUAGUAAACUGAUAUAUGAUAGAAAAAAGUAGAGGUUUCCCCGCAAGCGCCCACUCAAAACACAAUAAUGCUUAGGUGUAAGGGUUUCACACAGAUAUAUUAGACACCCCACUAACUAUUUAUCAAAAUCGGAUUGGUUAGACCAGGAUUUAGGAUUUGAUUGGGUUUGAUCGUUUCCUAAACCGGCUCGGACCGUAAUAAAUAAAUAAAUAUGGUUAACCUGGACCAUAAUUUUUGAUUGAGUUAGAUCAAAUCGAUAGUAUAGAGAGUUCAAUAUCAUAAUCUAGCUAGUCAAAAAUAUAAUUAUUGAAUAAUUUUUUAUGAAGUUUCAAAUUACAUAAAUGAUUUGUAACUUUUUAUUAAUCUAAUAAUUGAGAUUUAUGUACAAUUUACUUAAUUUACGGUAAGAUACUACUUUUUUUAGUUUUAAUUAGAUGUCAUAAUGUUUAUUAUUAUUAAUUAGAUUCAUGUUUCAAUCAAAUUAUGAUAUUAGAAGAGUUGGUAAUCACUCAUCCUCUCGACUAGAGUUCAAAUUCCACACUCCCAUAUUUUUUGAGAAAAAAUGUGUAGGUAUAAAAAUCUGGUCCAAUAGGCCAAAUAAUUUCGGUUGAACUGGCUGAAUUUCACGAUCAAACCGAGUUAACACCUGACUUUGAACAAUCUCACAAACUAUCAAAUAUAGUAUCAGGCGAGGUGCCGGCUCACGGUCGGACCAAUCGAACCUCCCAGUGCAGUUUGGUUUUCAAAACAAUUCUAUUUACAAACAUUUAUAGUUGUAGCAUUCAAUAAUAUUAAGACCAUCCUCAUUCAUGUGAAUGGGGAAUUAUAAAGUGAGCUUGGCAAUGGGAGGUUCAUGGAUGGUUAUAUCAUACCCAUUACCCAUCCGUUUGUGUGACGGUUAUUAACCAUACUCAUCCCCGUUUCUAUUUUGGUGACAGAAUUAGUUCCAUCACUAUACCCACACGGUUAACGGUUUGACCACUCCAAACGGUUAUAACCGCUCCUCGUUGAGGAAAAAAUACAAAAUGAGAACCAAAACUCAAAACGAAAAUCAAAAUGCAUCCACUUGAAUUGAUUUAGAAAAGCGGUGGAUGAGAUAUUUUAAAUAAAAAAUAGUGGUUGAGUUUUGUAAAAGGCGUGGAAACAAAGAGGUAUCAUCGACGUCGAAGACGGCAUAUAUGAUAUUUUCGAAGAAGGAAUGAUUAUUGAUUAGGUUUAGUUUUUUGGAUAGAUUCAUAUACAUUUGAGUUAGGUAGUGGGCUUAUUGGGUCCAUAUACUGACGGGUAAAUGUUGGUUAUAUAGCGGGGUGUGGAUGGUUAUGGGUAUAUUUAUAGUGACUGUGCGGUUAUUAUAAAACUCAUAACCUAACCCUAUAGAUUCUAGUGGUUAACAGUUAUUACCGUACCAAAUCAAAAUACACAGUCAACACGGUUAAUAACCGUCAAAAUUCGGUGAGGUUAUGGUCAGUUAAGCGAUUAAACAAUCGGGAUUGCCAAGUCUAAAUGGGAAAAUGACUUUUUAUUACAAAUUUGCAUAGUAUGUAAUUGUCAAAAGUAAUUGUAAAAUGGUCAAUGUUAUAUUUUAUUAGUUAUGUUAUAUUUAAAUGGUCAAUGUAAUUAAUUAAUAGUAAAUUUUUUGGCGUACUUAGUAUAUUAAAAUAUUUUAGUGUGCCCAAUUUUUAGUAAGUAAUGUGUUCAUUAUAAAUGUCUAUUUUAUGCGAUGGAUCUAAACGAUUGGAAGUAAAUUUAAUUUUAGAAUAUAAUUCAUGGUUUUCAUCUUUAUUUUAACUUACAAACACGUCACUAAAAUUACGGACCAUUGUGAUCAAGAAUGUCCUACAAAAGCUGUAGUCCUCACAAAUCGGUUUUAAAUUGUCCGACUAUCACCCAAGCAAAUAUUAUGCUAUGAAAGUCUGUGCACUCACAUUUGCACAUCCAUAUAUUCUUGUCAAAAUUUUUUAGUACGAUUAAAUUAAAAUAACAGUUAAAUCUAAAUCUANNNNNNNNNNNNNNNNNNNNNNNNNNNNNNNNNNNNNNNNNNNNNNNNNNNNNNNNNNNNNNNNNNNNNNNNNNNNNNNNNNNNNNNNNNNNNNNNNNNNNNNNNNNNNNNNNNNNNNNNNNNNNNNNNNNNNNNNNNNNNNNNNNNNNNNNNNNNNNNNNNNNNNNNNNNNNNNNNNNNNNNNNNNNNNNNNNNNNNNNNNNNNNNNNNNNNNNNNNNNNNNNNNNNNNNNNNNNNNNNNNNNNNNNNNNNNNNNNNNNNNNNNNNNNNNNNNNNNNNNNNNNNNNNNNNNNNNNNNNNNNNNNNNNNNNNNNNNNNNNNNNNNNNNNNNNNNNNNNNNNNNNNNNNNNNNNNNNNNNNNNNNNNNNNNNNNNNNNNNNNNNNNNNNNNNNNNNNNNNNNNNNNNNNNNNNNNNNNNNNNNNNNNNNNNNNNNNNNNNNNNNNNNNNNNNNNNNNNNNNNNNNNNNNNNNNNNNNNNNNNNNNNNNNNNNNNNNNNNNNNNNNNNNNNNNNNNNNNNNNNNNNNNNNNNNNNNNNNNNNNNNNNNNNNNNNNNNNNNNNNNNNNNNNNNNNNNNNNNNNNNNNNNNNNNNNNNNNNNNNNNNNNNNNNNNNNNNNNNNNNNNNNNNNNGAGAUUUUUGUUUAGUGUUUAGGGUUUAGGACAUAGUGAUGAUAAGUGUUUAUAGUCUAAUUAAGGGUUUUAUGAUCGGUUAAUUUACAUAAUAAUUAAAAUUAUUUAUAUUAGUAUUAAAAAAUAAUGAAGAUGAUAUUAUUAUAUUGUACAUGGAUCUCAUAUUUGCAAUUAUUUUAUAGUAAUAUGAUAAUGGAGAGUAGGAAAUGGGGAAAAGAUGAUGAAAUCAUGGAGGGAGUUACUUGAGAAAAAGGGGUUGGUUGCAUGGAGUUAGAGAAUCAAUGGUAGAGAUGUGUUUUCUUGUUCAUAACAUUAUUGUUUUUCCCACUUGGUGGAUAAGUUUUAUGAUUCUUCGUCCAUCAAGUCCCCAUAUUGUGUGUAUUUGUGAUUUGGCUCCUUUUUCUGUUAUUACGGGUUUGCAGGGCUACUCUACGUAUAUCACACUUCAAUUGUGUUAUAGGAUUGACUCGUUGACGGCACGAUCCUACUGCUGCAGGGCUACGACCACCUCAGCUUCCGUUUCAGACUGCUUGCUCGUUAGAACAUGGAGCCGCCGAUUUUGGGGUAUUCGUAGCUCUUAGAAUUGUAUCAAUAAAAGGUGUUGUUGGUAAUGCUCACCUACUUUUUGAUAAAUCAAUAAUCCUUAUUUGUCGAUAGAUGAUUAUGUUUACACUAAGGACGUAGAUGCUCUAAAAAUAAACUUAAGAUAGCAGCCUCCAAUCAAGUUGGGGAUUUGGUUGCCACAUAAGUAUUGCAUCCACAUUGAAUUAUUGUUAUAAUAUAGUGGUGUUUGGAUUUAGCCAGUGACAUGAGCAUAUAUGGUAGAGAGACUGUAGUUGUGAGGAUCACUUACAUCUAAGAUUAAAAAUAUAAAAGAUGUAUUAUUUUAUUAUAUUUUAUUGUGGUAAGAAGGGGGCCUUUCUCCUAUGAAUAUUGUCUGUUUCUUACGUAAGCCACCCAUAUAAUGUGUUUGCAACGUCAUUUUAUUAAGUUUUGGUUAUCUCCACCUCAGAUUUGUUUUGGUUGGUAUAUUGCGUGAGGAUUACUCACAUCUUAAUAAUUUGCAAUUCUCUUCCGCAAUUAUUCUGUUCAAACAUUAUAAAUCGAGAAGAUUGUUAUGACACAGUAAUGAUCAAUUGGAAAACACUUCAAUAGUACUUUGUAUAUCGCAUUUUCUCUUACGAUUUUUUAGGUUGUAAGGUUGUGUUUAGGGUUAUAUAAUUUAUCUUUUUAGGUUUAUAUAUGAUUUAUUCAUUUUUUUAUGGUGAAAUAAAUAGAAUUUCGAUACGAUUUAGAGUAUGAGUUUUGAAUUUCAGUCCACUUUUCCAUCUCCCAAAAUAGCAAUAAUUAAGGAUAACACUUUAAUACCCGGAUAAAAGAAAAAAAACUCACACUCUAAAUCAUAUUCGAAUUAUAUUUAUUUUAAAGUGUGAUUCCUUGGAAUGUAGAAUCCAUCAUCAAUUCUUUGGAUGUAUAAAUUCUUUUUUUUGGAUACAAAAUAAAUAGUAAUUUGAUGAUGAAACUAAUGACUUAACCCGGUUUGAAUUAAAGACAUCAAACUUUCAACCACACAUAGGCUUUGAUGACUCAAGUCGAGGAUUCAAAUCAAUUUCAUUAAUAAUUAUACAAUCUCAUUAAAAAAAAUGGAUAGUUGGUGACAUGAGAAAGAUAUACAACCUUAUAUAUUUAUUAUCAAAUUACAUAUAAUACAUUUGCAAUCUCAUUUGUUUAUAACUAGUGUCAUGUAUUGUCACACUAUACGAUUCUAAAUAGGAGCUUGUUAGGUUGUUAGGUAGUUAGGCUUACGGCAACACUUAAAAAGCAGCUUUAGCCCUAAGCUGGAAUCCAUAUCUGGCGCACUACUAUACUCAACUUGGAACAAAUUUAUUACCUUAAUAAUUUGAUCAUCUGAUUUGGUAUCUUUCAUUUCGCCCAAUUGGUUUUGUCGGCUUAAAAUUCUGGAAAAUAUAUAUAUAUAUUGUGCUAUUGUUAGAUGCUGAUCCCGAGCACGUAACAACGGGGACGGGUCUCUUCUAAUUAAAGGCAGGAUUUUCAAAGGGCUUCGUCUCCAACGUAACUAUCGACCAGCGGGUCUCGUCUCGUCAUCCUCGUCGUCGUUGUUCAUCUUCAAUACGAUCAUUAUACUAACUGAUAUGACCCCACGUGUAUUAAGGAACACGACGCUCCACAAGUAAUUUUAGAAAUAAAUAAUUUUUAUUUAUGGUCAAAAGUUAGAGUUUGUGAUACGAUUUUAAGUUUAAGUUUAUAAUGUCGUAUUUGAAGGUUAAGAUUUAGUGUUUAGGGUGUUAAAAUAUAUGUUCUUUUUUAAUAUAUAGAGUGUUAAAUAUUCAAUAAACCUUUUAAUUCAUCUGGUUUAUACGAAUUGUCCAAUAGCUAGUGCAAGGCUAGGAAUGGUUUAGGUAUGGAUAAUAUCUGGAUUCAUAUAUAUGAUAAUGAUGACGAACUCACAGUACUGUAUUCGAUAAAGCAUCUCAAUGGACCAUAUAUGUAUAUAUGUGGUCCAUUAUUAGUAUUAGUGGAUGAUGAGCAAUGAACAGCCACCAUCAUCAUCAAUCACUCGGUAAAGUAGCUGAUUCAUCGAGCAGCAAUUUGUUUGGGAGAUUCUUUCAUUUCUUUUGCCGUUUUGACAUUCUUACAUCACAAUUCAGUGGACUACGAAUCAAGCAUCCUUGUUUCAGGAAUUACAGCAACUCUCGUACGUGUCUCUUCACCUAUUUUUCAUUCAUAAUCAAACAACCCUGAUAAAUUUUAGAUAAGUUAUACAAAGCGUGUAGCGAUAAAGUAAGAUCAUUAAUGGAAAUAAAAUUAACACAAACAGAUAAACUAUUACCUAUGCCGAUUAAGUAGUCGUCAUCCAUAUUACUUUUCCGAUAUAUAUGAUCAACUUUGACCAUUCAGUCCCGAUUCAACAUCUCACGGAAAAUGGCAACCUCAAAAGAAUGUUGGUGUGUAAACUCACCAUUCUCCCAAUAAUGAAUGAAUCAUAACAUGCGAAUCCAACUGCACCCGCACAUGACAGUACCCUCUCUCCCAAGCAAGUUGUAACCCUUUCAAAACAACUCUCAAUCCAACCCUAAUGAUCGAGCAAGUUUCCAGGUUCGUGACAUUUAGCAUAUGCAGCUAAGCACUGUGGUUCGUGGCAUUUGGCAUAUGCAGCUAAGCACUGUGGUUCAUGGCAUUUGGCAUAUGCAGCUAAGCACUGUUUUAGUGGGUGAACCACUAUGAAAGAACUGGUAUGAGAGCCUCCUAUAUCGACUUGACCAAUAAGAUGAUAGGCUGUGACAGAGCCUCGGGAGGAGUAGUGCAGAUAUUUAUAAAUAUGCACUCGUUUCGGGUCUUCCAGAGAGACCAGCAGGCAACCCUGAACAGAAGACUAGAGCUCGUUGUCUUCAGACGGGGUGUAAUCCAAAAUAAAAGUGGAAAAUUUCAAUUCAUCUUGAUCUUCAGAAAUAUAAAUAAAUCGCUCACAUUUGGUAAUCGCGAACGAACAAUCCCAGUAUUUGUAUUGAAGAAAAAAUAGGAACUGUUUGUCAAAUCCAAUAUUUGUAUGAAAUCAGUAUGCUAGUCUGUAAACUUUUCCAAACCGGUUUUAUACCUCAAACACUCUAAGCAAUAAUAAAUCAAAGUGCAAAUGGUGCAAUUUUUUUUGUUGAUGAACAACGUUUUAUUAUUCACCAAAAAAUCAAAAUAGGUUCAAUACAAAAGAUGAGAGAGAACUUAUACAGUCUUGGUGAGUUUUCUUUUUUUAGGAAAACUCGGCCCUCAUUGUCAAGAUUCGACUUUAAGAUGUAAAAAGACAAAAUCAAGGAGAUGCAAAUCUCCCUUCCAUGAAAGUGUCCUAGCAUUGUCUCCUCCAUAUCAAAUUUUUACAAAAACGAAGUUGUUAAGUGCAAAACAGAAAAAAGAAAAAAAAAGCUCAUAUGACAUUACAAUCAACUCCUCUGAGACAAAAUGUAUCUCUCUGGAUAAUGGCAGCAAGACUCUCCUCAGACAAAAUAGUUCUCGUGAACUUUCUCCGGCAUCUCUCUCGCCAAAUAUAAUAAUUAAUAGUAUGCCAGACCACUUGAACAGCAGGGCGGACAGUUGGACGAAUGGAUUCAAGCUAGACAACCAAGCUCAAAGUGGCAUCCCAAUAAAAAGCAGAAAGGGAAAACAGGGAAGGUCGUGCUAACAAACAAAAUAGAUGAAAGAACAAUUACAGAAGAUGUGAUCUUUGAAGUCAAUACCAUUAGAGCAGAGAAAACAAAAGAUAACGAUAGGCAAUCCACAAGACGCAAUCAAAUUAUUAGUGGUAGAAAACACAAAUAAUAAGCCAAUUGACAAAGCAAUGAGCAGGAAUGCAAGAUCUUCUUCAAACAGUGGUAGACCAUUAAACUAUAUCAAACCUUGGCCGAAAAGAGUUCCAAACAGGAGUAAUGCAUAAGCAAGGAAAGGCCAAGGCAUCUCAACAAAAAGUACUAUCCAACUUUUGUGUAACAAAAGGAAAACUCAACGAUCAUGAUUUUAAGAAUUCACCUCCAAAAUCAAAAAAAAAGGCUUUGAUAGGACAAGACCACAAAUGGUGCAAUAUUGAUUAGUCAAGAAAUGAGAAUUAUUCAAAUUAAUUUCAAUUAAUUGAAACCUAAUCAGGAAAGCAUUUCCCAUGUUGUGGGAAUGACGCAGAUCGAAGUUGAUAUUUGAAGAAUCUGAAUUUAUGAAUAAAAGCUCUCUUUAACAUAUGUGUUACUUUCAAGUGAAUCAUAAUUUUUUGUUCUUUGGAACCAAAUUCUUUAUACAAGGGAUGAGUUCUGCAAUCCUCU